UUUCACAAAUAUAAUUGUUACGGCUUGUGCAUGAAAUGUCAUUCCACUUGCUUUGCACAGAGAAUUGAACACAAUCCUCACUGCCACCUGCGUUGAUACGACUGCUUGUGAUGCCAUCAAUACCUGUCAUGCAAUAAUAUAAUCAA
Long non-coding RNA from Xenia sp. Carnegie-2017, 146 nucleotides. RefSeq lists it as uncharacterized. The record is from RefSeq and is a predicted model, not a curated record. NCBI's taxonomy places the organism in Eukaryota, Metazoa, Cnidaria, Anthozoa, Malacalcyonacea, Xeniidae. The transcript is spliced from 2 exons.